CCAGUCGGCUGGAUGGCCGCUCCCACUAGCGCCGAAAGGCCGUGGGGGAGGAAAGUCCGGACUCCAUGGAGAAACGGUGCCGGAUAACAUCCGGCGAGGGCGACCUUAGGGAAAGUGCCACAGAAAGCAAACCGCCUUCACAUGUGGGGGUAAGGGUGAAAGGGUGGGGUAAGAGCCCACCGCGCGGCUGGCAACAGUCGUGGCAUGGUAAACCCCACCGGGAGCAAAACCGAAUAGGGGCGGCGCGGAGGCUUCGGCUUCCAGUCUUUCUCCAGACCAGACCGCCCGGGUUGGUUGCUUGAGGCGUUCAGCAAUGGGCGUCCCAGAUGAAUGGCCGUCACGUGCGGGAAACCGCGCCAUACAAAAUCCGGCUUACAGGCCGACUGGUAUC
This 391-nucleotide RNase P RNA is filed under the name Pseudovibrio exalbescens. RNAcentral describes it as "Nesiotobacter exalbescens Bacterial RNase P class A". It matches the Rfam family "Bacterial RNase P class A". Rfam says of the family: Ribonuclease P (RNase P) is a ubiquitous endoribonuclease, found in archaea, bacteria and eukarya as well as chloroplasts and mitochondria. Lineage: Bacteria; Pseudomonadati; Pseudomonadota; Alphaproteobacteria; Hyphomicrobiales; Stappiaceae. The record is from Rfam by way of RNAcentral.